CCUACGGGAGGCUGCAGUGGGGAAUAUUGGGCAAUGGGCGAAAGCCUGACCCAGCAAAGCCGCGUGAAGGAAGACGGCUUUCGGGUUGUAAACUUCUUUUGACAUGGGAGAGUAACAGACGGUACCUGCCGUCUAGUCUAUGGCUAAUUACGUGCCAGCAGCCGCGGUAAUACGGAGGUUGCAAGCGUUGUCCGGAUUUACUGGGUGUAAAGGGCGUGUAGCCGGGUUGAUAAGUCAGUUGUGAUAUUUUGCGGCUUAACCGUAGAAUUGCAGUUGAAACUGGUAGUCUUGAGUACUGUAGAGGCAGACGGAAUUCGUAGUGUAGCGGUGAAAUGCUUAGAUAUCAGGAGGAACACCGGUUGCGAAGGCAG
Molecule: ribosomal RNA, 371 nt
Filed under: uncultured bacterium
Lineage: Bacteria
Description: partial 16S ribosomal RNA
Rfam family: Bacterial small subunit ribosomal RNA
Source: RNAcentral